RNAcentral lists this long non-coding RNA (489 nucleotides) under Homo sapiens (human). RNAcentral's name for it is "HSALNT0381774". Lineage: Eukaryota; Metazoa; Chordata; Mammalia; Primates; Hominidae. The record is from RNAcentral.
AGAUCUCACCAGUGCAUGCCAGCCUGGGCAACAGAGCAAGACCCCAUCUCAAAAAAAAAAGUGGGGGGCUUCAUAAAUUCAAAGUCUCCUGAAGAAGUAAGGGUGGUUAUAUUAUUUACGCUGAGGCUUGGGAGUUAGGUUUCUUAGUUAUGGUUUCAAUUUCACCUUUCAUUUACCAUAUAACCCCAGGCAAGUCUUUUAAUUAUUAUUUAUUUCAGAUUCUUCAUAAGAAAAAAAGACAUAUCAUUUUCUUCACAUUCUUAAAGCUUUACUGAAUGAGAACAUUCCUAUUUUACGUUUCAGGAAACUCCAGUAUGAUUAUGAAAGCCCUCAAGUGAGACCAGCUCAGGUAAAGAGGAUUAUGCUCAACAAGCAAGAACAAACCUUCACCUUUCUACAAUCCUUAGUACAGCAUUAUACAGUCUAUUGCCUGCCAUCUCUGAUUUCCUAUAGUGGGAACAACUUCAUUAAAAAAAAAAAAAAAAAAAA